GGCAGCUCUCAGGUGACGCAUCACGAAAUCGGGCUCCCUCCUCUCUGCUUCCAGGGUGCAUCACCCAAGAACCACC
Non-coding RNA from Myotis brandtii (Brandt's bat), 76 nucleotides. NCBI's taxonomy places the organism in Eukaryota, Metazoa, Chordata, Mammalia, Chiroptera, Vespertilionidae. The record is from Rfam.